Molecule: ribosomal RNA, 459 nt
Filed under: uncultured bacterium
Lineage: Bacteria
Description: partial 16S ribosomal RNA
Rfam family: Bacterial small subunit ribosomal RNA
Source: RNAcentral
CCUACGGGGGGCAGCAGUGAGGAAUAUUGGUCAAUGGGCGGGAGCCUGAACCAGCCAAGCCGCGUGAGGGAAGAAGGUACAGCGUAUCGUAAACCUCUUUUGUCAGGGAACAAAGGCGGGGACUAGUCCCCGGAUGAGGGUACCUGAAGAAAAAGCAUCGGCUAACUCCGUGCCAGCAGCCGCGGUAAUACGGAGGAUGCGAGCGUUAUCCGGAUUUAUUGGGUUUAAAGGGUGCGCAGGCGGUCUGUUAAGUCAGCGGUCAAAGCCCGGGGCUCAACCCCGGCCCGCCGUUGAAACUGGCAGUCUCGAGUUGGAGAGAAGUAUGCGGAAUGCGCGGUGUAGCGGUGAAAUGCAUAGAUAUCGCGCAGAACUCCGAUUGCGAAGGCAGCAUGCCGGCUCCACACUGACGCUGAGGCACGAAAGCGUGGGUAUCGAACAGGAUUAGAUACCCUAGUAGUC